This is a long non-coding RNA of Hippocampus comes (tiger tail seahorse), 2282 nucleotides long. RefSeq lists it as uncharacterized. The transcript is spliced from 2 exons. Lineage: Eukaryota; Metazoa; Chordata; Actinopteri; Syngnathiformes; Syngnathidae. The record is from RefSeq and is a predicted model, not a curated record.
UGACUACAACGGGGGAAAUUAAGAGUUAAGGGGUGCAUGUGGCACCAGCCUGGCGUGGAAAUCCUUCCGUUCCUCCCUUCGCCAUGCCACCGCCAUCUGUCAUCUGCGUGAACAUCUGCACACCCAAGGUGCCCUUGUCACCCGAUGUUAAAGCAGUAUGUUUGCUUUUUCUAUUAAGGGAACCUGGAGUGAUUCACCAGAACAAAACCAAUUAGACGGAUGGCGUCGUGGUGAAUCACUUGGAUUGCAGAGCCAUAUUAGAUACAUCGUUGCAUCCUCCGGCAAUGUUGUCACCGUGUCAUCCGAGAGCCGAAUUAUCAUUUGCCCUGAGUUGGUCGUGUCUCGGCUUGGUAGCUUCUUUCCACUUGUUCCUGCUUUCGUUGCUAAGCCUUCUGCCAAAAAAAGGGCUCUUCGCUCAAUCCUGUUUUUUCAAUACGCACCGUUUGCAUAUGAGUUUGGAGUUGACAUUUUAGCAUAUUUUAUGUAUUUCACAAAUUCAGGGUGAUACUACUGGAUUGGGGCAGUGGUUAGUAUGCCUACCUCAAAGUUCUGAGGUUCUGGAUUUUGAAUGAUCAAUUCUUUGCCUUAACACCUCGAAGGCAAAGCUGAUGAAAUGAACUCGACAGCACAAACGAUCUCAAAUUGCUUUCUGGACUGACUUGAGUGCAUUUCAAAAAAUUGGUAAAUUUUGAGGUGGCCCUUCCGUUUUUCUGUAUGCGGCCCGCAAACGUAAAAGUUUGGACACCCCCUGUGUUACAUGAUGCUGAGUGUGGCUGUUGACUUAUGCAUCCACAAGACCACAGGAAACUUAAAUACUUUUUGGAGGGGGGUGGGGGGGGGAUUGUGAAGGGAGUUUAUGUUUAUGCAGUGUGUCCUUAACAAAAGAAGCUCAGUGCUAUUCUUGGCUUAGUUUGCAUGUCUUUGUAAUUUUGUUUCGGUUGGUGUACCGCCCUUAUUUCCAUUGAAUCGGAGCUCCAUAAUUUCUUCCAUUUUCAUUCGCAGUUAGUUGCACCCUCAUGCUUUUGUCGUACGUUCAGCCUCCAAGAAUUGCUAGCCAGUGGACUGUUUUGCUACAAGCUGUCCAUGUAUAUUAUUCACCAGUGUAGUUCUCAAGAGCUGUUCAAUAUAUUCCAUCGGGUGCUGAGCUGCUGUACAAUGAACAUUUUGUUGUAGUAAAUCGCGCUCUGAUAUAAUCGGCAGUAUUACACACUGCUGAAAUGACCGGUUUGUGUUGUGCUUUUUUUCUUUUCUCCUCAAAGCUUUGCAACAUUCUGAUCUUUCACACCGGUGAGUUCUUUUUGUUACUGGCAUGAAGCUGGAUGCCGCUUUGCCACAGCUGCCGCUCCAAUGAAGUGGACCCGACACUUAAGCACAAAAACACAUCCGCGUACAUGAAGCUCCGCACCAUCUGCUGGGGCUGAAUUCGUAAGGAUGCUAGUAGUGUCUACAAGCGGGCGCUGACCACACGCCACCGUUGCCCGGCACAACCCUCUGACACACUGAUGGAUGUGCACCAAAUACGCCGAAAGAUUGCACGCCAAAACAGAAGAAAAGAUUUCAAUGCUGCCUCAGCGUGAAAGAAAAAUGAUAGAGACACUAUUUUAGAGUGUUUGGUACCAAGCCGCCAUAUACAGAGUGUACACAAAAAAAAAAAAAAGAAGGCAAACAAACACCCUGAGAGCAUUCAGCACGAGCCAAAAAGUGUCUGGCGCAGCAGACCAUCCAUUGAAAAGAGCACCUGCAUGCUCGAAGAGUCUGAAACUCCAGUCUCAACAACUCUUUACAACCUUUAACCGCCUCCGCUUGUCAGGCUAAAGACAAGUUCCGAGCCUUGGAAAGGACCCCCGCUCCCACCCCAACGCUUGCUAUUUGUCGCCGACUUUUUUUGCUUUUUCUUCCGCUCUGUUCAAAUAUAUCUUUGUUCUAAUGGGUUCCACAGAAGUCGGCUCAUCCCAGCACCACCGGGUUUUAAAGGUCCGUGCGAGCGAGCCGGCUCUGGCGCUGCCGCACUUUGAAAUGAGGCCUGGCCGCGAUUUUUGCGGAGGAAGAUGCAGAGAGACCAGCUAACACUAGGUUGCUGUGGAAAACUAGGCUCCUAUGGCUAUAAAGAGCAGGAAGGGAUGAUGAGGCCUGAGCUGAUCUUCUUGGCAGCCCCUUCAAAGUCUCGUUCUGGAACUCCUUGACCCUUUUCCCCCUUGGACUUGGACUUUUUUUGGCCACUUCGUCAAUCCAUCUGCCACCACAGUUAAUCACCAACGUCCUAUAAAGAUGUCAUACCUACA